CUUCAACGACCCCAGGUACAACGGCGUCUCACGAUCCUGACCGUAGGUCGCCAACAACGCCUGCGCCUC
Saccharothrix sp. ALI-22-I is the source of this 69-nucleotide non-coding RNA. It matches the Rfam family "ASpks TB sRNA". Lineage: Bacteria; Bacillati; Actinomycetota; Actinomycetes; Pseudonocardiales; Pseudonocardiaceae. The record is from Rfam.